UUCCAACUGACUAAAUGGUUGAAAACCAUCUGUACAUAAUCCCAACCUGGCAUUUCUUGGUUUAGCGGCAAAAAAGGGAUGACUUUCAUUGAAGUGCUUCCAAACCUCAGAAUCUGAUGGAUGGCGCAUCACACCAUCCUUUUUUUUAUGCUCAUGAUGCCAUCUCAUGUCAGCAGCUGUAGCAUGAGAUGUAUAUAAU
Molecule: long non-coding RNA, 199 nt
Filed under: Capsicum annuum
Lineage: Eukaryota; Viridiplantae; Streptophyta; Magnoliopsida; Solanales; Solanaceae
Description: long non-coding RNA (CANN_LNC011073)
Source: RNAcentral